GGACCAGAGUAGUUUAUCCCAUCCAUUUUAGAUUGGCCAGAGAGAAAUUCAGAUUUACAGAAUUAAAUAGCAUGCGAUUGGCUAAAAAAGAAGAAGAAGAAGAACCAAAAUAUGCGAGAGAUCUCAGAUUCGUUGUUGAUAUGAUCGAUCAAAACGACGCCGACGAUGACGACAGCGUCGAAAUGAUUUGCCGGUGGCGGUCCUUCUCUCUGCGCCCCGCAACAUUGCCUUGCCUUGCCUCCCAUCCCAUCGUCUUGUUUCUUCCAGCAGACUCUCCAUCCUUGGUUCAGUGCUCCGGUCAGCCAUGAAAGAAGAUAUAAUAUUGGAAGCCACGGCAGAUUUUUCCUGCUGCCUGUCGCUCUCUAUGGCUCUGGGCUCCGGCAAAUGCACGCGCGUGUCGGACGAUGAUUCUUGGAUCUUGAUAAGGUUGCAUGUCCUCCUAUAUUAUUGGCUGCGUUGCCCAUGAUAUCUGGGUCAGUCUGAACUGAUUGCACCGGCGGUGAUAUAAGAGAGAGACUGAGAGAGAGUCUUUGUCAGUAUCCAGCAAUUUAGAUUGACUCUCGUCCUGUUCACAAUAGAAAACAAUGCACCAUGGAUUCUUGGUUUCUUUUUUCUUCAUUUUCAUUUGGACGAUGCAUGCACUCUGAAAAUUAAUGGCCACAUGGAUCCAUCAACUUUUUUUCUUUUCUUUUCGAACUUAAAGCAGGAGCG
RNAcentral lists this unclassified non-coding RNA (711 nucleotides) under Zea mays. Its description in RNAcentral is "misc RNA Zm00001eb033750". Lineage: Eukaryota; Viridiplantae; Streptophyta; Magnoliopsida; Poales; Poaceae. The record is from RNAcentral.